RNA transcript from Myiozetetes cayanensis, 1954 nucleotides. RefSeq lists it as uncharacterized. NCBI's taxonomy places the organism in Eukaryota, Metazoa, Chordata, Aves, Passeriformes, Tyrannidae. The record is from RefSeq and is a predicted model, not a curated record. The transcript is spliced from 2 exons.
ACGGGCAGUGUGAAGACAUUCCCAGCUCCAGCGCCCACUUCCCCUCCCGAGGGGCGUCGCUGGCAAGAGUCCGAAUCCCACUGAUGGCUCGAGCUGAAAGAGUGGCAGCAGCAGCACUGGGGUCAUUUCUAACGUUCCUGCUGACAGCCCGGCCCUACAGAGCCCUCACUCUUUUGCAGAGCUCACCCCGUGCAAGGGUAUUUGCCUCGGGUCUGCUUUUCUUCCACGUGCAACAACUUCUGAUGCAGGGCAGGCAUCCAGCCUUGAUCUGAAAAAAUUUAAACAAAGCAAAAAAGGGCCCGAGUUCACCCCCUGGCAGCUCAUUUCGAAACAACGAUUGUGCUGUUGGCGAUCCCCGUCCCGCCCGCAAAAGCCUCUUCCUGCUCCUGCUGUGAAGAUGACAGGCUCCAACCUGGGACAAAUCCAUGGGAACAGCGGUUUGGAGGGCACCGGGCUCGCGCUUUCACACUGGAAGAGCAGCAUUUGCUGGAGAGAGUGAGGGGCUUUUACCUUGGCUCCGGCCCACAGGCUUCCUUCAGAGUGUUCCUUUCACAUGGAAAUUGGUGCCAAGUGAAGAUUGCUGGCUCUGGCUGGCGUGUCAGCCCUGGCGAGGGACACAAAGGUCUUGCAGCAGCGGAUAGAGGUGGCACAAGGAAAAGGAAAGAGGUUUGGGUUGUGCUGGCUUACUGGAAGGGGCAGGGAGUCCACGUGGAAGGAGUGGGAGAAGCGGGAGGGAGUGCAGGGAAAGAGAGCUAGAUUUAUGAACACUAAUUCCAAAUAAUCAGUCUUCUGCUGAGGGCAGCCCCACCAAUCUCGAAUUUCCCUGCCUCAGAGCCACCACUCGAGUCCCUUGCCUCCUUCACAGGAAGCCUGGGCCAAGCAAGCACACCUGCAUUAACUCUGCUGCACGUGAUUUAUGGAGCCAGCUUCACCACAACCCCUUUUUUUUUUUUUGUUUCCUGUCACCAGAACAGAACAAAAGUAAUCCCCAUAGGCUGGGUUUCCAUCAGCAUCACACUGUGCAAACAAGGUGCUGCUCCAAGGUACGAGUCCCUGCCUUCACUGGGAACGUCCUUGGAGGUUUUCUCCAGCCAGGAGACCCCUGUGGAAGAGCUGGAAGGUCCCUGAUGCCAGGAGGCAGCAGGUUAUCCACUGGAGCUGUGUCCAUGGAAUUCCAGGGGGCUGGAUGGGAUGUGUGUGGUACCUGCAGGAAUUGCAGGGGAUAAGAGAGCUGCUCCUUGUGAGCUGGAGACUCCCACUGUCACCCAGGGAACCCCCUGAAAAGGCAGAGUAUGUGGGAUUUAAACACUCCAGAGGCCCAAAUCCCAUUGCCUUGCUGCCUGGAAAGAAUGGAUAGCUUUGAAUUAGUAAAAAUGUCUUUUUUUUUUUCCCUUUUACAAAUCUUAGUUCUGUGUGUGUGCCUGCAGAACAUCAUCUUCACAAGGUGUUUCCCCAGAUGCAGGACCAGGCAGGACCAGCCUUUUGCCUCCCAGGUGAGAGCAGAGGGGGAUUUUGUCAGCUGGUCCCUGGGAAAACAGGAGGUUUCCUAUGUCAGAUUCCCAGAUUGUCCUGGGAAAUCAAAUUAUCUCGUGAAAGAAAGUUAAAAAUGAAACAACCCCACGUGGUGUCACCUUUGGGAAUGUUUCUUACCCUCAGACCCCCCAGUCAGGUGCUGAGCAUCGAAAGCACAAAGUGUGAGCAGGAGAAAAUUCGAGGACUUCACUUUCCAGGUUCUUAGAAACUUUCCAAUAGUUGCUUUGAAAUUCAUUCCUAAAUCAGAGAAGGUGAUAAAUCAAUGCAUAAGAAAUAACCUGGGCCGUGGCAAUCCCAGACGUGAGCACAGACUGAGAAAUGAGCUGAGAGAUGAGAACAAAAGGACUUGGGGAUCCUCAGGGAUGAAAAGCUGGACAUGAGCUGGCAGUGUGUGCUCAAAACACAUCCCCAAAAUUUAUUC